RNAcentral lists this ribosomal RNA (440 nucleotides) under uncultured bacterium. RNAcentral describes it as "partial 16S ribosomal RNA". It matches the Rfam family "Bacterial small subunit ribosomal RNA", at positions 338 to 795 of the family's 1533-position model. The record is from RNAcentral.
CCUACGGGAGACAGCAGUGGGGAAUAUUGCACAAUGGGGGAAACCCUGAUGCAGCGACGCCGCGUGAGUGAAGAAGUAAUUCGUUAUGUAAAGCUCUAUCAGCAGGGAAGAAAAUGACGGUACCUGAGUAAGAAGCCCCGGCUAACUACGUGCCAGCAGCCGCGGUAAUACGUAGGGGGAAAGCGUUAUCCGGAUUUACUGGGUGUAACGGGAGCGUAGAGGGCAGUGCAAGACUGGAGUGAAAGGCGGGGGCUCAACCCCCGGACUGCUCUGGAAACUGUACGGCUGGAGUGCAGGAGAGGUAAGUGGAAUUCCUAGUGUAGCGGUGAAAUGCGUAGAUAUUAGGAGGAACACCAGUGGCGAAGGCGGCUUACUGGACUGUAACUGACGUUGAGGCUCGAAAGCGUGGGGAGCAAACAGGAUUAGAUACCCUAGUAGUC